Molecule: long non-coding RNA, 1375 nt
Filed under: Homo sapiens (human)
Lineage: Eukaryota; Metazoa; Chordata; Mammalia; Primates; Hominidae
Description: non-protein coding lnc-EEPD1-49:2
Source: RNAcentral
GCCCUGGCUUAACAAUGUGUAACUUCUCGGUGAUUGUGGAACUCGGAGAAAUUACACCCGUCAUUUGAUAUCAAUUACUAUUCCAGCCUUCUCAGUUGAACUAAACUCCUCAGAACAGAAGAUCUCCAGGUCUGUGGUAGUUUCUGCUACUUUAGGCUACUUUUUUGGGUGGGGCAGGGGGGCAAGAUGAGGACAUUCACAGCAGCCACUGUUCUUCUUUGUUCCAGUGAUAGCGACACUGCAGCCAUCUCCAGGGAACCAGUGGCCUGUUUGCUGUGUGUGCUUCCACACUGGCCUCCCACGUGCCAGCUGGUGUUACCUGCGUCGCUCACUCCUGCUGCUGGAGUGGCUGCGUCAGCAGGGGGAGCUGAGAGCAGUAAGUGGCUGGAACAGCCCAGGGAAGGAGGAGAUCCCUGGGAGUUUAUGCCAUCAGUUAGUCUGUAUUGAUCCAGGGCGUAUUUUGUGCAGAUGGGGACCCUGGGAAGUUAGCAGCAAUGGAGAAAAGCGUGGAAUGCUCUCCAGGUAUUAACACCACUGCCACCGCCACCCUGGCCAUGGAACACUGCACAGGGAGAAGGCAACAGAGCAAAACAAGCAUAUUGCAUUUCUCCAGCUGCUCCGGAAGUCCUUGGGACAGGAACCAUGUAAUCCCAUAGUGGCAGCAGUAACAACAAUGGCAACAGCAGCCUGGAGAGCACCGAAAUACUUAAAGCUCUGAGGGAAGCGAGUCUUCCCUCCACUAGAGAAGCUGUGGUCCCAAGAGGGUGGGACAAAAUACCAUUCCCUUUUCUCUCUCUCUGUUCAUACACUGCCUGGUGGGACAGACUCAAGUAUAGCCAUGAGAUGUAUGCAGCAAGGUAGGAAAACUAAAGACCUAGCUUUCUAACCAGAGGACAAAAAAAAUGGGGCUUCAGUGGGCCAAAAAUGCCAGAAUAAUCUCAGAAAGGAGACUGCUCAAGAGAGCAGUUCCAUAUUAACUCCGAGGCUUACUUCUAAGCUGCACAUGGUGUGAGAACUGAACUGUGCAUGAGACUAUGAUCCAGGCCACCAAAUGGCCACUGGGCAACAUACACACAACAGAUUCCCAUAGCACUGCAAAGGCUUUGAAAACUGAACUGAUAUUAGAACCACAGUCCACAGGAGAACUCGAGUCUGGAGCCUAAUUAGACUGAUUGCUUGCAAAAACAAAACAAAACAAAAUUCAAAAUUCGCUUUAGGAUUUAAACAAGACAUGGAUCCUCAUAAUGUAAUAUUCAAAAUGUUCAGGACACAAUCCAAAACUACUUGACAUAUGACUUAUAGGGAAAAGAACAAUGAUGCCACCUGCAAGAUGACAAGGGAAAAUUCUCUUGAAACAAAAAAGUCUCAAUAAAGA